Pelobates cultripes (western spadefoot toad) is the source of this 509-nucleotide non-coding RNA. The record is from the annotation of a GenBank genome assembly. NCBI's taxonomy places the organism in Eukaryota, Metazoa, Chordata, Amphibia, Anura, Pelobatidae.
CUACUCUCUUCCUGAACCUCUUUAUGGGUGUUCCCAGUGUCAUUUUCAGCCUUGUUUCCUCUCUCCUGUCUUUCUUAUCUAACACUCCAUUGUUUUUCCUAUACUUCACCAUCUCUUAAAUAUAAGAGGACUUUAGUCUGGAUAAUUUUAACACUUGCGCCAGCUGAGACUUCUCUAUUUGUCUUAAUGGUGAAGAGCUCCAUGAUUUGCUUAAUUGAGGAAUUUACUCUUUGGAAGUGGACAAAAGGAUUAGCUGGUGAAUCUUCCCUGUAUAAGGGAAUCCGGUCCAUCACUGGAUGAGAUAUUAAAAAGACAAAAGAUCUACAAUAUCUUAUGUUUCAGUCGCCUAAAUAGCUCCUCCUUGUUUAAUUUAUUUACUGUUGAUGCAUGCAUUGGAUGAACAAUGAUUGACGUCAUGGUGACAUGUCAAGCCACAAGCAGAUUAGUAUUUGUUAUACCUUAACUGAUCAUUGUAAGAGAGUGCCACAUGGUGUAUUGUAAUGAAUUUG